UAGGGAAUCUUCCACAAUGGACGCAAGUCUGAUGGAGCAACGGCCGCGUGAGUGAAGAAGGUUUUCGGACCGUAAAGCUCUGUUGUUGGUGAAGAAGGAUAGAGGUAGUAACUGGCCUUUAUUUGACGGUAAUCAACCAGAAAGUCACGGCUAACUACGUGCCAGCAGCCGCGGUAAUACGUAGGUGGCAAGCGUUGUCCGGAUUUAUUGGGCGUAAAGCGAGCGCAGGCGGAAGAAUAAGUCUGAUGUGAAAGCCCUCGGCUUAACCGAGGAAUUGCAUCGGAAACUGUUUUCUUGAGUGCAGAAGAGGAGAGUAGAAACUCCAUGUGUAGCGGUGGAAUGCGUAGAUAUAUGGAAGAAUACCAGUGGCGAAGGCGGCUCUCUGGUCUGCAACUGACGCUGAGGCUCGAAAGCAUGGGUAGCGAACAGGAUUAGAUACCCUGGUAGUCCAUGCCGUAAACGAUGAGUGCUAAGUGUUGGGAGGCUUCCGCCUCUCAGUGCUGCAGCUAACGCAUUAAGCACUCCGCCUGGGGAGUACGACCGCAAGGUUGAA
This 553-nucleotide ribosomal RNA is filed under the name uncultured bacterium. RNAcentral describes it as "partial 16S ribosomal RNA". It matches the Rfam family "Bacterial small subunit ribosomal RNA", at positions 355 to 898 of the family's 1533-position model. The record is from RNAcentral.